Molecule: ribosomal RNA, 253 nt
Filed under: uncultured bacterium
Lineage: Bacteria
Description: partial 16S ribosomal RNA
Rfam family: Bacterial small subunit ribosomal RNA
Source: RNAcentral
UACGUAGGGGGCUAGCGUUGUCCGGAAUCAUUGGGCGUAAAGCGCGUGUAGGCGGUCCGGUAAGUCCGCUGUGAAAGUCGGGGGCUCAACCCUCGAAUGCCGGUGGAUACUGUCGGGCUAGAGUGCGGAAGAGGCGAGUGGAAUUCCUGGUGUAGCGGUGAAAUGCGCAGAUAUCAGGAGGAACACCAAUUGCGAAGGCAGCUCGCUGGGACGUUACUGACGCUGAGGCACGAAAGCGUGGGGAUCAAACAGG